RNAcentral lists this ribosomal RNA (460 nucleotides) under uncultured bacterium. Its description in RNAcentral is "partial 16S ribosomal RNA". It matches the Rfam family "Bacterial small subunit ribosomal RNA", at positions 338 to 795 of the family's 1533-position model. The record is from RNAcentral.
CCUACGGGAGGCAGCAGUGAGGAAUAUUGGUCAAUGGGCGCGAGCCUGAACCAGCCAAGUAGCGUGAAGGAUGACUGCCCUACGGGUUGUAAACUUCUUUUAUAAAGGAAUAAAGUGAGGCACGUGUGCCUUUUUGUGUGUACUUUAUGAAUAAGGAUCGGCUAACUCCGUGCCAGCAGCCGCGGUAAUACGGAGGGUUCGAGCGUUAUCCGGAUUUAUUGGGUUUAAAGGGAGCGUAGAUGGGUUGUUAAGUCAGUUGUGAAAGUUUGCGGCUCAACCGUAAAAUUGCACUUGAUACUGGCAGCCUUGAGUACGGUAGAGGUAUGCGGAAUUCGUGGUGUAGCGGUGAAAUGCUUAGAUAUCACGAAGAACUCCGAUUGCGAAGGCAGCUUACUAAACUGCCACUGACAUUGAUGCUCGAAAGUGUGGGUAUCAAACAGGAUUAGAUACCCGUGUAGUC